ACGUAGGGGGCAAGCGUUGUCCGGAAUUACUGGGCGUAAAGAGCACGCAGGCGGUUUGUUAAGUCGGAAGUGAAAGAUUAGAGCUCAACCACAGAUUUGCUUUGAUAACUGCUAGACUGGAAUGUCGGAGAGGGAGGUGGAAUUUCGGGUGUAGCGGUAAAAUGCGUAGAUAUCGGGAGGAACACCGGUGGCGAAGGCGGCUUCCUGGCCGACAACUGACGCUCAUGUGCGAAAGCUGGGGGAGCAAACGG
Molecule: ribosomal RNA, 251 nt
Filed under: uncultured prokaryote
Description: partial 16S rRNA
Rfam family: Bacterial small subunit ribosomal RNA
Source: RNAcentral